This 509-nucleotide ribosomal RNA is filed under the name Arthrobacter sp. RNAcentral's name for it is "bacterial SSU rRNA". It matches the Rfam family "Bacterial small subunit ribosomal RNA", at positions 94 to 613 of the family's 1533-position model. The record is from RNAcentral. Lineage: Bacteria; Bacillati; Actinomycetota; Actinomycetes; Micrococcales; Micrococcaceae.
AGUGGCGAACGGGUGAGUAACACGUGAGUAACCUGCCCUUGACUCUGGGAUAAGCCUGGGAAACUGGGUCUAAUACCGGAUAUGACUCCUCAUCGCAUGGUGGGGGGUGGAAAGCUUUUGUGGUUUUGGAUGGACUCGCGGCCUAUCAGCUUGUUGGUGGGGUAAUGGCCUACCAAGGCGACGACGGGUAGCCGGCCUGAGAGGGUGACCGGCCACACUGGGACUGAGACACGGCCCAGACUCCUACGGGAGGCAGCAGUGGGGAAUAUUGCACAAUGGGCGCAAGCCUGAUGCAGCGACGCCGCGUGAGGGAUGACGGCCUUCGGGUUGUAAACCUCUUUCAGUAGGGAAGAAGCCUUUCGGGGUGACGGUACUUGCAGAAGAAGCGCCGGCUAACUACGUGCCAGCAGCCGCGGUAAUACGUAGGGCGCAAGCGUUAUCCGGAAUUAUUGGGCGUAAAGAGCUCGUACGCGGUUUGUCGCGUCUGCUGUGAAAGACCGGGGCUCAAC